AUUGGGCGCACUAAACCCAGAGGCGUAAUGAAAGUGAAAGGGGGGCGUCCCGGGGCUUCCUUCGCGGGAGCCCCGGUCGGCGCCCUCCGGGGCCGAUCCUCGACAGACCGUCGCCGCCGGUGUCUCUUCCCACACCAAAGCGGGGCCAAGACGGGAGCGGCGCGGGGUGAGACCCUUUCCCCCGUCGUCCGACUCCCGGCCCCGUGGGUACCCGGCGAGCGCGGCAGUCCGGUGGUCCCUCUCCUCUCGGGGGGAGGAGGCCUCCGCCUGUACGCAGGGGGGCGCAGGCCCGGGACUUGCCAUUAGACGCCGUCGCGCAAAUCUGUUGUUGGCCUCGCCGGCUCUGCUUGGGCUCUCGGUUGGCGGGCCGCGCGUCAGGCGGGCUUUA
RNAcentral lists this ribosomal RNA (388 nucleotides) under Potamon persicum. Its description in RNAcentral is "partial 28S ribosomal RNA". The record is from RNAcentral. Lineage: Eukaryota; Metazoa; Arthropoda; Malacostraca; Decapoda; Potamidae.